RNAcentral lists this transfer RNA (75 nucleotides) under Promethearchaeota archaeon. RNAcentral describes it as "Candidatus Lokiarchaeota archaeon (anaerobic digester metagenome) tRNA-Arg". It matches the Rfam family "tRNA". From Rfam's summary of the family: Transfer RNA (tRNA) molecules are approximately 80 nucleotides in length. Their secondary structure includes four short double-helical elements and three loops (D, anti-codon, and T loops). Lineage: Archaea; Promethearchaeati; Promethearchaeota. The record is from RNAcentral.
GGGGUCGUCGUCCAGCAUGGAUCGGGCACCAGCUUCCGGAGCUGGCUUACGUGGGUUCAAAUCCCACCGUCCCCG